AUGGAUAUAUCUAUAUAGAGCUAGGCUGGUAUACUAUCAGUAGCACGGAAGCCUCCGUGCUACCAAGUUGUUUUCAAUGAUGCGGCUUUCAAAUCGACGAUCGGCUCCGUUAGACUUCAUUUACACUAUUGAAAGUAUUUGAAAAAUAAAUUUCAUAAUUUUUCGAUAUCAUUUACCCAUCAAACUAGUAGUCUAAAAAUGAACGGCUGAAAAUAAAAAUCUCAAAAAAAAUGAUGAUAGAAGACUUGAAUUUAAGAUCAGAGGUACUGUUCUUACUUUGAAUAGUAAAAAAAAUUUCUAUAAAAAUUUCAUCUGAUUUGGAUUGUUUUACACCGUUAAAUUUACAAAUGCAUCACAUCUACCAUUAAAAUUGUCAAUUCUGAGGCCUUUUGAUCACUAGCCAAAUGAUGUCGAAAAAUUCUGAAAUAUAGUUUCCAAAUACUUUCAAUAGUAUAGAUCAAGUCUAACGGAGCCGAUCGUCGAUUUGAAAGUCGCAUCAUUGAAAACAACUUGGUAGCACGGAAGCCUUCGUGCUACCGAUAGUAUAGUAGCCGGACUCUAUAUAUAUAUAUAUAGAGUUGAGCUAGAAUACUCUCGAUAGUAAACAGAGCAUUUUACUAUCGAGUUGUUUUCGAUGAGAGAGCUUCCAAAUUGACGAUCGGCUCUGUUAAAUAUGAUCUAAACUAUUUAAACUAUCUAGAAAUCAAAUUUCACGCACUUUCGAUAUUGUUCUUUUAUUCAUCUAGUGAACAAAAAAUGAAUGGUUGAAAAUGAAUAUUCUUUCAAAAAUGACGAUAGGAGUCUUGUAAUCAAGAUCAAGAGUAUAGAUCUUGUUUUAAAUAGUUUAAAGAAUUUUCUAACAAAAAUUCAAUUGAUUUGGAUAUCUUUACACCGUUAAACGAGAAAACGUCUCUUAUCCACCAUUAAAAUUACAAAUUUUGAAACCCUUUGAUCAUUAGGCAAAUGAUGUCGAAAAGAUUUGAAAUUUGAUUUCUAAACACUUUAAGUGGUAUAGAUCAUGUUCAACGGAGCCGAUCGUCAAUUUGGAAGCUCUAUCAUCGAAAA
RNAcentral lists this long non-coding RNA (1065 nucleotides) under Ananas comosus (pineapple). Its description in RNAcentral is "long non-coding RNA (ACOM_LNC025147)". Lineage: Eukaryota; Viridiplantae; Streptophyta; Magnoliopsida; Poales; Bromeliaceae. The record is from RNAcentral.